CCCUUAGAUGUCCUGGGCCGCACGCGCGUUACACUGAUGCAUUCAACGAGCUUAUAACCUUGGCCGAGAGGCCUGGGCAAUCUUGUUAACGUGCAUCGUGAUAGGGAUAGAUUAUUGAAAUUAUUAAUCUUGAACGAGGAAUUCCUAGUAAACGCAGAUCAUCAAUCUGCAUUGAUUACGUCCCUGCCCUUUGUACACACCGCCCGUCGCACCUACAGAUUGGAUGGUCCGGUGAAGCCUCGGGAUUGUGGUUCUUGCCGCUUUAUUGUGGCGUGACCGCGAGAACUUGUCUAAACCUUAUCAUCUAGAGGAAGGUGAAGUCGUAACA
RNAcentral lists this ribosomal RNA (328 nucleotides) under uncultured eukaryote. RNAcentral describes it as "partial 18S ribosomal RNA". It matches the Rfam family "Eukaryotic small subunit ribosomal RNA", at positions 1470 to 1796 of the family's 1831-position model. The record is from RNAcentral.